Molecule: ribosomal RNA, 497 nt
Filed under: uncultured bacterium
Lineage: Bacteria
Description: partial 16S ribosomal RNA
Rfam family: Bacterial small subunit ribosomal RNA
Source: RNAcentral
GAUGAACGCUGGCGGCGUGCCUAAUACAUGCAAGUCGAGCGAACAGACGAGGAGCUUGCUCCUCUGACGUUAGCGGCGGACGGGUGAGUAACACGUGGAUAACCUACCUAUAAGACUGGGAUAACUUCGGGAACCCGGAUCUAAUACCGGAUAAUAUAUUGAACCGCAUGGUUCAAUAGUGAAAGACGGUUUUGCUGUCCCUUAUAGAUGGAUCCGCGCCGCAUUAGCUAGUUGGUACGGUAACGGCUUACCAAGGCAACGAUGCGUAGCUGACCUGAGAGGGUGAUCGGCCACACUGGAACUGAGACACGGUCCAGACUCCUACGGGAGGCAGCAGUGGGGAAUCUUCGGCAAUGGGCGAAAGCCUGACGGAGCAACGCCGCGUGAGUGAUGAAGGUCUUCGGAUCGUAAAACUCUUUUAGUAGGGAAGAACAAAUGUGUAAGUAACUAUGCACGUCUUGACGGUACCUAAACAGAAAGCCACGGCUAACUACGUG